GCAAGCCGAGGGGUAAGUCUCUUUCGGGAGAACACGACCGGCGCACGGGUGAGUAACGCGUAUGCAACCUACCUUUGGCACGGGGACAGCCCGGGGAAACCCGUGAUUAAUACCCGGUAUAGUCUAUUAUACACCUGUAUAAAAGACGAGAGCUACGGCGGCCAAAGAUGGGCAUGCGUGCCAUUAGUUAGUUGGUAGGGUAACGGCCUACCAAGGCAUCGAUGGCUACGGGGUCUAAAAGGAUGAGCCCGCACACUGGCACUGAGACACGGACCAGACUCCUACGGGAGGCAGCAGUGAGGAAUAUUGGUCAAUGGGUGGAAGCCUGAACCAGCCAUGCCGCGUGCAGGAAGACGGCCUUAUGGGUUGUAAACUGCUUUUCUACGGGACGAACGGCUCUGACGUGUCAGAGAUUGACGGUACCGUAGGAAUAAGCAUCGGCUAACUCCGUGCCAGCAGCCGCGGUAAUACGGAGGAUGCGAGCGUUAUCCGGAUUUAUUAGGUUUAAAGGGUGCGUAGGCUGGGCAAUAAGUCAGUGGUGAAAGUCCGCGGCUCAACCGUGGGAUUGCCAUUGAAACUGUUGUUCUUGAGUACAGUCGAGGUAGGCGGAAUGUGUAAUGUAGCGGUGAAAUGCAUAGAUAUUACCCAGAACACCGAUUGCGUAGGCAGCUUACCAGCCUGGAACUGACGCUGAUGCACGAAAGCGUGGGGAGCGAACAGGAUUAGAUACCCUGGUAGUCCACGCCGUAAACGAUGAUCACUCGCUGUUGGCAAUAUAGAGUCAGCGGCUGAGCGAAAGCAUUAAGUGAUCCACCUGGGGAGUACGUCGGCAACGAUGAAACUCAAAGGAAUUGACGGGGGCCCGCACAAGCGGUGGAACAUGUGGUUUAAUUCGAUGAUACGCGAGGAACCUUACCUGGGCUUAAAUGUAGCCGGACGAUUCCGGAAACGGGAUUUCCUUAACGGCUGGUUACAAGGUGCUGCAUGGCUGUCGUCAGCUCGUGCCGUGAGGUGUCGGGUUAAGUCCCAUAACGAGCGCA
This 1040-nucleotide ribosomal RNA is filed under the name uncultured organism. RNAcentral's name for it is "bacterial SSU rRNA". It matches the Rfam family "Bacterial small subunit ribosomal RNA", at positions 57 to 1100 of the family's 1533-position model. The record is from RNAcentral.